UUGUUUAUUCUCCCUCGUAGAGAAGGGAAAAAUCAGCUUUUUUUACUACCCAAUAUACUUCUUCUUCCUCGACUUAUGAUCAGAAUUGCAUUGCACCAAAUGUUUUCAGGAGCUUUCAAUUGUUGGCUUCUUUGAAAAUUACAAGUUAACUUAUAAUUUGGAAGCAUAUGAUGCAAUAACAAUUAACAAGUUUAAAUGAAUCAAGAACAUAAACUUCAGGUUCAGUUGAUUCUAAAUAAGCUACACAAAGCUAUUUUUAAAAUUUAAUGCAAGAGAAGGGCAUUAAACUUAAAUUGAACAUCAGCCUAUGAUUUUUAAUAUAAAAGUACGUUUGAACCUUAUCACACAGCAUACACAGGAUGAGGCAAAUAAUACCUUGUGGGGAGCCCACAGAUAGAAUCAGAUUAAUAUUAUCACUACCGAGUUGUAUAGAUUUUAAGAGAGAGUUCAAUGACGAAACUCUCGUUCUAACUCCAGAAACCUUUGCAGCAUGUUGCAUAACGAACGGCAAGGGCCCAUCUUCUAACAAUUGAUCGAGCUCUAAUACCAUUCAAAGAAACUAAAGAUCUCAUCUUUUAAUAACACACAUUUAUAAGAAAUAAUGAACCCAGCAAAUAAUUCAUCGUCAAAGAUAGUAUAAUUACCUCGGGUAUGACGAUCUAUGAAGCAAUUGAGGUGGUCUUGACUUUUGAGAGCAACCUGAGCUUUAGAAUCGAAGUCCCUGAUAAUACUAGCAAGCAUCAGAAAUGAACCCUUGACCAACGCUUUGCUGCUCUUGUUGUUUCCAUUGUCAGUGUUGAUCUGACAUUGCUGUUCUUGGGGGUUGUUUUCACUGAGAUUGUUAUUUCCAUUAGAGGAAACUAAGGUCUAAUUGAAAAGAAACAGCAAUAUUACUUUCCUCACUAGGAUUUCUGUUGCGGCGGUCUUGUGGGGAUUCCAUUUUCAGUAAUGAAUUAUCAAGCAUCCCAGGAAGAAGAAGAGGAAUCAUAUGUGGCAGAUUUGAGUUCGAGGUUUCUAACGAAUGGGCUAAGCAGCCCAUUUAACAGUUCCAUUGGAUCUCAAUGAGUCCCAUCAUAUUUUUCAUGGACCGACAGACCAAAUAUAUACAAAGACGAAAAUAACCCUUGAGAUGCCUGAGGUCCGAUUGGGGUUUCCUAUUGCCUAU
Molecule: long non-coding RNA, 1165 nt
Filed under: Manihot esculenta (cassava)
Lineage: Eukaryota; Viridiplantae; Streptophyta; Magnoliopsida; Malpighiales; Euphorbiaceae
Description: long non-coding RNA (MESC_LNC003716)
Source: RNAcentral